UACAAGGAAUAUAAAUGAAAAUAAAUGAAUAUAAUGUACUCACAUACACUAAAAACGUAAAUAAAACGAGUGUAUAAAUAAUAGUCCCAAUACUUGGUAGACUUCUUAUAGGUUCCAAUAGGUAUGUGGAGACUUUGAUGGAUAAUAUAUCCAAUAGGAAACUGGGUCCUCUAGUCUUGGAGAAAUCUUGACUCGGUGAUGAACAUAGAAAUAAGCAAACAGAGACAAUCCAAUAGUGCAGACUGUAUACUGAUAAGUAGAAAUUGGAUAGAAAAUAGGGAGGUAAUUCACUCACCUAUUCAAGAGCAUAAACUAGCUCAAGUAUAAUUGGCAUUCAGUGGCGUCUGUCCCCCACUUGUGGGAUAUGGGUGAUGAUAAUUCCUCGGUAUGGAAAAGAGAUAAGAGCCAAAUAUAGUGCUCACUGUAUGUAUGAUUAAGAUAAAUUUAAAAUGAAGAAAUAAAAGUACUCACAUUUGGAUGAGCAGGAUAUACUGCUCAAUAUAAUCACGUAGGUGGUACUAUCCCCACCUAGGAUUCUUGGGCAGGUGUAGACUCCAAGGUAAUAUAUGACCAGGUGAAAAGAAAAAUAUAAAAUAUGAAAUAAAAGGUAUAUGGCAAAUGUAUAGUAAAAAAGCCAAUAUUCCUUUA
Non-coding RNA from Pelobates cultripes (western spadefoot toad), 648 nucleotides. Lineage: Eukaryota; Metazoa; Chordata; Amphibia; Anura; Pelobatidae. The record is from the annotation of a GenBank genome assembly.